AGUCGAGGGGCAGCGAGAUGUAGCAAUACGUCGUCGGCGACCGGCGAAUGGGUGAGUAACACGUAUGCAACUUACCUCUUAGUGGUGAAUAACUCGAUGAAAGUCGGACUAAUACACCAUACUCUCCUUAGAUCACAUGAGAAGAGGAGGAAAGAUUAAUCGCUAAGAGAUAGGCCUGCGUUCCAUUAGCUAGUUGGUAAGGUAACGGCUUACCAAGGCAACGAUGGAUAGGGGGACUGAGAGGUUGACCCCCCACAUUGACACUGAGAUACGGGUCAAACUCCUACGGGAGGCAGCAGUGAGGAAUAUUGGUCAAUGGGCGAGAGCCUGAACCAGCCAAGUCGCGUGAAGGAAGACUGCCCGCAAGGGUUGUAAACUUCUUUUGUAUGGGAUUAAAGUCGUCUACGUGUAGACGUUUGCAGUUACCAUACGAAUAAGCAUCGGCUAACUCCGUGCCAGCAGCCGCGGUAAUACGGAGGAUGCGAGCGUUAUCCGGAAUUAUUGGGUUUAAAGGGUGCGUAGGUUGCAAGGGAAGUCAGGGGUGAAAAGCUAUAGCUCA
This 559-nucleotide ribosomal RNA is filed under the name uncultured bacterium. RNAcentral's name for it is "bacterial SSU rRNA". It matches the Rfam family "Bacterial small subunit ribosomal RNA", at positions 60 to 611 of the family's 1533-position model. The record is from RNAcentral.